CACCGCGGUUAUACGAGAGGCCCAAGCUGAUAGCCAUCGGCGUAAAGAGUGGUUAGGAAAAACAAGAACUAAAGCCGAACAGAUUUGAGGUUGUUAUACACGUACAAAUACCGGAAGCCCUAUCACGAAAGUAGCUUUACAAGAUCUGAACCCACGAAAGCCAGGGAA
Molecule: ribosomal RNA, 168 nt
Filed under: Acanthocepola krusensternii (red-spotted bandfish)
Lineage: Eukaryota; Metazoa; Chordata; Actinopteri; Priacanthiformes; Cepolidae (in: ray-finned fishes)
Description: partial 12S ribosomal RNA
Source: RNAcentral